Molecule: long non-coding RNA, 208 nt
Filed under: Gossypium raimondii (Peruvian cotton)
Lineage: Eukaryota; Viridiplantae; Streptophyta; Magnoliopsida; Malvales; Malvaceae
Description: long non-coding RNA (GRAI_LNC008538)
Source: RNAcentral
GCUUAUUUACAGUGUAAUAUAUAGAACUUAUUAUUCUAAUAAUUGAAAAUUUAAAACCAUUCACUAUCAUGCCAAAUUUACAGUAAACACAAUCAACCUACAUACAUGCUCUUAACCAAUCACUUGUAUUUCUACAAGCACAAUCACACUUUGACAAGAAAAAAAAAAGCAUCAAACGAAAAACAAAAUUUCCUAUGUUAACCCCCCA